CCUACGGGAGACUGCAGUGAGGAAUAUUGGUCAAUGGACGAGAGUCUGAACCAGCCAAGUAGCGUGAAGGAUGACUGCCCUAUGGGUUGUAAACUUCUUUUAUAAAGGAAUAAAACGAGGCACGUGUGCCUUUUUGCAUGUACGUUAUGAAUAAGGAUCGGCUAACUCCGUGCCAGCAGCCGCGGUAAUACGGAGGAUCCGAGCGUUAUCCGGAUUUAUUGGGUUUAAAGGGAGCGUAGAGGGGUUGUUAAGUCAGUUGUGAAAGUUUGCGGCUCAACCGUAAAAUUGCCAUUGAUACUGGCAGUCUUGAGUACAGUUGAGGUAGGCGGAAUUCGUUGUGUCGCGGU
This 347-nucleotide ribosomal RNA is filed under the name uncultured bacterium. RNAcentral describes it as "partial 16S ribosomal RNA". It matches the Rfam family "Bacterial small subunit ribosomal RNA", at positions 338 to 682 of the family's 1533-position model. The record is from RNAcentral.